Diachasmimorpha longicaudata is the source of this 74-nucleotide small nucleolar RNA. The record is from RefSeq and is a predicted model, not a curated record. NCBI's taxonomy places the organism in Eukaryota, Metazoa, Arthropoda, Insecta, Hymenoptera, Braconidae.
AUUUAAUGAUGUAAACAUUUAUAAAGAUUGAAUAACCAUGAUGUUAUAUUUCGAGCUUUUUAACCCUGAAAAUU